GUUCGCCUACGGGACGCAGCAGUGGGGAAUAUUGGGCAAUGGGCGCAAGCCUGAACGAGCAAUGCCGCGUGAACGAGGAAGGUCUUCGGAUCGUAAAGUUCUGUUGAAGGGGAAAAAGAGCGGAGAGGGGAAAUGGUCUCCGAUUGAUAUUACCCUUCGAGGAAGUCACGGCUAACUACGUGCCAGCAGCCGCGGUAAUACGUAGGUGGCGAGCGUUAUCCGGAAUGAUUGGGCGUAAAGGGUGCGUAGGCGGCCUGCUAAGUCUGGAGUGAAAGGUACCGGCUCAACCGGUACAGGCUCUGGAA
RNAcentral lists this ribosomal RNA (305 nucleotides) under uncultured bacterium. RNAcentral's name for it is "bacterial SSU rRNA". It matches the Rfam family "Bacterial small subunit ribosomal RNA", at positions 333 to 631 of the family's 1533-position model. The record is from RNAcentral.